Long non-coding RNA from Vigna unguiculata (cowpea), 964 nucleotides. The record is from RefSeq and is a predicted model, not a curated record. NCBI's taxonomy places the organism in Eukaryota, Viridiplantae, Streptophyta, Magnoliopsida, Fabales, Fabaceae.
AAUAAUGUUUUUUUUUAAGAUUAGAAAAGGGGAAAGAAGGGAAAGGGUCGUUCAAAGUUCAAUGUUGAAUGUUCAACGUUGAGAGAAGACAUUUGAAAAUCACGUGAAACCAAAUAAGCUGAAAUCGCAUCCAAUCUCAUCGCAUCGCACAGAGAUGAAUUCAAUUGCCAGAAACCGAUCGCUAAGUCUCAUCCUUCUUGCUUUCUCUUUGCAUUUCGUUAUUGGUUUUUCCGACGACUCAGCUGUUUCUAAAGAUCUCACGAAGAUAGAACAUUUUGCCACCAGAAGCCCUAGUACUAUAAUUGUCCUUAUAAUAAUUGGGAUUGUGCUGUUUUCCUUGUUCUGCUUUGCACUUUUCAAACUUUGGCGGAAGAAGAAAAGGGAAGAACAAUACGCUCGUCUUUUGAAGUUGUUCGAAGAGGAUGAUGAGUUAGAGCUUGAGCUUGGCCUAAGGGACUGACCUCUGCAGCUCGACAUCUUCAAGAUUGGCUUAUGCGAGUUUAUUUGUUUUGAAAUGAGUUAUGCUAACAAGUGCAAGGACACUUGUUAACAAUAAAAAGUAGCAAAAAAUUUAUGGUGAAAUGCACAACAAUUAAUAUAAUACAGUACUUUAAUUUUUCAAUGCUUAACAAGUGUCCUUAUAACUCGUUAGCAUUUGCCUUGCCUUCAAAAUAAUGUCGCUUCUUGCCGAAGACAGAUAUGAUGGUGGUGGACGUGUGGAUUAAAACUUUCUUGGAGUGAAGAACCGUAGUUCAUUGUUUGUAAUGCUAUUUGAUGAUUUUUUUUAAUAGAUAUUUAUUUAUCUACAUAGUAGAUGUAGAGAAUGCUAAUUUGCAGAGAUUGGACUGGUGGUCGUCUUGAGUAUGAUACACCUGAAAUUUGUUGAUAUGUAUGAUAUUGUAGUCUUGACAUGUUAUGGGUAAUAUAUGGUUGUCCAUGAAUGGGUGACAUUUGUUUUUUAAAA